RNAcentral lists this ribosomal RNA (450 nucleotides) under uncultured bacterium. RNAcentral describes it as "partial 16S ribosomal RNA". It matches the Rfam family "Bacterial small subunit ribosomal RNA", at positions 354 to 796 of the family's 1533-position model. The record is from RNAcentral.
GUGGGGAAUAUUGGACAAUGGGCGAAAGCCUGAUCCAGCCAUGCCGCGUGUGUGAAGAAGGUCUUCGGAUUGUGAAGCACUUUAAGUUGGGAGGAAGGGUAGUAACCUAAUACGUUGCUACUUUGACGUUACCGACAGAAUAAGCACCGGCUAACUUCGUGCCAGCAGCCGCGGUAAUACGAAGGGUGCAAGCGUUAAUCGGAAUUACUGGGCGUAAAGCGCGCGUAGGUGGUUCAGUAAGUUGGAAGUGAAAUCCCCGGGCUCAACCUGGGAACUGCUUUCAAAACUGCUGAGCUAGAGUACGGUAGAGGGUGGUGGAAUUUCCUGUGUAGCGGUGAAAUGCGUAGAUAUAGGAAGGAACACCAGUGGCGAAGGCGACCACCUGGACUGAUACUGACACUGAGGUGCGAAAGCGUGGGGAGCAAACAGGAUUAGAAACCCGUGUAGUCC